AUGGUGCAAACCAGUAGUACCCACCCAAGGGAAUGGUGCCCUUCAGAGGGGAGGCCUGAGAGGCACAGCAGGCACCCAGCCAGACCCGAGAAGGGGGCCAGCACCUCCUUGGAAAAGCCCCUUCCUCAGCAGCUGUGCAUGACAAGAAAGAAGCAGAAAGACCCUUCCUUACCUGGGAAAAUGACCUUGUUGAUGAUCCUGGAUCCCCUGAUUCUAGACAUCAAAAUGGAGGAGGCAGAGGCUGGAGCAGGAGGUUCAGUGAAGAAUGGGUGGGGCCGGUCAAAGUCCCCAGUGAGGCUGCUGCCUCAAAGGCAGCCUGAAGACAGGAGGAGGUGCACAGAUAGGAACCCAGAUGUUCGGAAAGUCGUGCCAGGAGUAGUGGCUCAUGCCAAGGUGAGAGGAUUGCUUGAGCCCAGGAGUUCGAGACCAGCCUGGCCAACAUGGUGAAACUCCAUCUCUACAAAGAAUAAAAAAAAAAGAAAAAAAAAAAAAAAAAAAAAAAAAAAAAAAAAAAAAAAAAAGGAAAUAAAAAAAAGAAAGAGCUUUUCUUCUCAUCCAUUCAUUCAUUUAUUAUCAUUGUGAACUCAUGGAUUCUUAUUUUAUUCAGUGGGUCAUAAUCCAUCACUAUCAUGAUCUAUUUUGAUGCUUUAAUCAUCCCAGCGUUGUCCAGCAUUCUGUCCUAACAGCUGUUUCCCAUAUCCUUUGACAUAUCCCCAUUAUUUUGUGAGCACUUUCUUUUUUUAUUUUAUUUUUUAGUCAGAGUCUUGCUCUGUUGCCCAGGCUGGAGUGCUGUGGUGCGAUCUCAGCUCACCGCAACCUUCGUCCGCCUCCUAGGUUCAAGCAAUUCUCCUGGCUCAGCCUCCCGAGUAGCUGGGACUACAGGCAUGCGCCACCAGGGCCGGGUAAUAUAUUUUGGUGUUUUUAGUAGAGAGGGAGUUUCACCAUGUUCGUCAGGCUGGUCUCAAAAUCCUGACCUCAAAUGAUAUGCCCUCCUUGGCCUCCUAACGUGUUGGGAUUACAGGCGUGAGCCCCUGCACUCGGCCUGUGAGCGCUUUCUUAUUUCCUGGCACAUCAAGACGUUCUGGGUUCCAUUGUACUUUCCCUGCCCCAGCCCUGCAAUCAGGCCUUUCUUCAAGGAGCCAGGUUCUUUUCCAUGAGGCACAGGUGUGAUCAUUCCCAUGGAGAUGUCAGUGUUUCUAGGCUGUUCCCGUGUGCAGAGCUAGGAGCACACAUGCACACGUGCACAUACGCACAUAAACACAUAAA
RNAcentral lists this long non-coding RNA (1266 nucleotides) under Macaca mulatta (Rhesus monkey). RNAcentral's name for it is "lncRNA (ENSMMUG00000065180.1)". Lineage: Eukaryota; Metazoa; Chordata; Mammalia; Primates; Cercopithecidae. The record is from RNAcentral.